RNAcentral lists this ribosomal RNA (493 nucleotides) under uncultured marine bacterium. RNAcentral's name for it is "bacterial SSU rRNA". It matches the Rfam family "Bacterial small subunit ribosomal RNA", at positions 44 to 526 of the family's 1533-position model. The record is from RNAcentral.
AGGCCUAACACAUGCAAGUCGAGCGGUAACACAAGGGAGCUUGCUCCUGAGGUGACGAGCGGCGGACGGGUGAGUAAUGCCUAGGUAUCUGCCCAGUCGAGGGGGAUAACAGUUGGAAACGACUGCUAAUACCGCAUACGCCCUACGGGGGAAAGGAGGGGACCUUCGGGCCUUCCGCGAUUGGAUGAACCUAGGUGGGAUUAGCUAGUUGGUGAGGUAAUGGCUCACCAAGGCGACGAUCCCUAGCUGGUCUGAGAGGAUGAUCAGCCACACUGGAACUGAGACACGGUCCAGACUCCUACGGGAGGCAGCAGUGGGGAAUAUUGCACAAUGGGCGAAAGCCUGAUGCAGCCAUGCCGCGUGUGUGAAGAAGGCCUUCGGGUUGUAAAGCACUUUCAGCGAGGAGGAAAGGUUAAGUCUUAAUACGGCUUAGCUGUGACGUUACUCGCAGAAGAAGCACCGGCUAACUUCGUGCCAGCAGCCGCGGUAAUAC